RNAcentral lists this ribosomal RNA (397 nucleotides) under uncultured bacterium. Its description in RNAcentral is "partial 16S ribosomal RNA". It matches the Rfam family "Bacterial small subunit ribosomal RNA", at positions 523 to 918 of the family's 1533-position model. The record is from RNAcentral.
AUACGUAGGGGGCGAGCGUUGUCCGGAAUGACUGGGCGUAAAGGGCGUGUAGGCGGCUUUAUAAGUCUGGAGUGAAAGUCCUGCUUUCAAGGUGGGAAUUGCUUUGGAGACUGUAGAGCUUGAGUGCGGAAGAGGUAAGUGGAAUUCCCAGUGUAGCGGUGAAAUGCGUAGAGAUUGGGAGGAACACCAGUGGCGAAGGCGACUUACUGGGCCGUAACUGACGCUGAGGCGCGAAAGCGUGGGGAGCGAACAGGAUUAGAUACCCUGGUAGUCCACGCUGUAAACGAUGAAUGCUAGGUGUAGCGGGUAUCGACCCCUGCUGUGCCGCAGUAAACACAAUAAGCAUUCCGCCUGGGGAGUACGGCCGCAAGGUUGAAACUCAAAGGAAUCGACGGGG